CAUAGCAACCAUAUCACCCUGCAGCCCAAGACUGGUUGCCCACUGAAGCUAAGCAGGGUUGAGCCUGGUCAGUACCUGGAUGGGAGACCUCCUGGGAAAACUAGGUUGCUGCUGGAA
This 117-nucleotide ribosomal RNA is filed under the name Sinocyclocheilus grahami. Lineage: Eukaryota; Metazoa; Chordata; Actinopteri; Cypriniformes; Cyprinidae. The record is from RNAcentral.